CUGCAUCCAGCCUGGGUGACAGAGCAAGAACGUCUUAAAAAAAAAAGAAAAAAAAAUUUUUUUUUUGGUCACUUGCCAUCAUUCAAGGCACUAGCACAGAGGCCUGCAGGAGGGCCCUAAGGGAAGAAAAUCAGAAAAUUCAAACUAAUGGAAAUGUUUUAGGAAAUCACAGGACAGUCUCUGAAAGCAGGAAAGGAUGGAAUCCAAAUUAGGAGCACCUCUUCUAUUAUGACAAGAGGAAGGGCAAAGUGGAUGAGAUUAUAAAGCCUGAAGCCCAGAACCCAACAAAUCCAUCACAAUUGUCCAUCCAGGAGAAUAAAAUAAUGUAACAUUUCCACUUAUGUCUCUAUGAUGGAAACUUGAUGACUACUUACUAACGAACCCCCAAAUUCACUCACCUGUUUUUGGCAAAUGAAUUUUGUGAAUUACAUAUUGCACAGAUACGUAAUAUUUUGCUUUUCUAGGAACACCAUCUGUUUUUAAUGAAAAUUGAGGAAAUAUUUUCUAACUGAAGCAUAUUCUGAGAAAAAUCAGAAUAUACAUUUUCAUAACAUUUUCAGCUUAUUACAUAUUUGACUGUAGAACUAAAAUGUUGCCAAAUAAAGAAAAUGGCAAAGCCAAGUGUGAUGGCAGAAGCCUGCAGUCCCAGCUACUUGGGAAGCUGCAGCAGGACUGCUUGAGCCUAGGAGUUCAAGGAAGCAGUAUGCUAUGAUCGCACCUGUGAACAGCCACCGCACUCCACCCUGGACAACAGAACAAGACCCUAAGUUAAAAAAGGAAAUGAUCACGCUUAUACAUUUUUUCUACUUAAUAGAAAUAACCAUGAAUGAAAUAAGGAAACUUAUAGUUUGAUCAUCCUCAACCAAUGUUUUAAGAGUCUAGUCUAUAAUAAAGAUUGGGACCUAACACUUUUAAACUUUUCUCUAACUCCAAACUCAUAAAUACACAUUGUUAUAUUGAUUUUAAACUUUUCUCUAACUCCAAACUCAUAAAUACACAUUGUUAUAUUGCUUUUAAACUUCAGAUAUAGAGUAUUUGGUCAAGUAGGCUCCUUUAAAAAACAGGGCAACAGAAAAGUUUCUGAAUGUCACUAGACAAUUAAACUUUUAUUGAAGCGUAAAUUGUGGUACAGAAAUACAUUUCAACUGAUUUAAGUCCAACACCAGUGAAAGGAGAAAUUAUGGCACCAAAACUUUCCCUCUUCUAUCAAACCAUGAUUUAGAUUAUGAUUCAAUCUACAUUUCUCUUUUCUAGGCUUUGUCCCAUACAAAUUUGUGCAGUUUUUCAACAUUAGAAUUCUUAAUUCUAUUAGGAAAAAAAACAAAACAAACAAAAAAAAACCCACAGACCUCAAGUCAACAAAUCUAUUGGGAUACUGUUUACGAACAAAGUCCACCUUAAGCAUUGGUCCUUAAAACAGAGCUCCUCAAAAUAUUAGGUGCUGUGCUCAUUACAGAAUCAAACUUACACACUGACUGAAAACUUCAAUGAAAUUUUCAAUCAACAACAUGCUUCAAAUAAAAGUCAAACAGUGUUCCAACCACUUGAUUUCAAACCAAGUAGAUUUUAGGUUUAGAAACACUAAAAAAAGGUGUUUCAUUUAUAAAUACGGAAGGAACAAAAACAUCACUGCAUCAAUCCAGAAAUUAUCAAAAUAUUUAGAGGACAAGAAAUAUAAAAUUUAGUCAACUUUGCCGUUUUCUCAGUUCCUUAAAAUCCCAGAGUAUCUGCAAAUAUAGCUAAAAGGUACCAACUCUUGAAAGCCUAUAUUACUAGUCAUUUCUCAUUGAGUAUUUUGGAAUUUUAUUUAUGUUCUACUUAUUUAUUCAUGUAUUCUACUUUAUGAUGUUUAUCUGAAUAAUCUGGACAAAUUCUCAUUCUGGGCAGUCAUUCAUUUCAUCCUAUGAAUGCCAUGGUGAGGGAAACACCGUAGGUUAGAGGUACAGAUGAAGUCAGAACACACAUGCAUCACAGUCACAGAACUUUAAGUCACAAGAUGGAAAAGACAUUGAUUCUGCUUUGGAUCAAAGUUUAUAGAACACUACUUAAUGGAAACUAGUGGAAAUGGCUGCUAAAGGAAAAGUUAAGGUGAAUGAUCCAAGCUGACUUGAUUUACUGAAUCCAGAACAAAAUUAUGCUAAAUCUCUCUGGUAAUUAACUAA
Molecule: long non-coding RNA, 2162 nt
Organism: Cercocebus atys (sooty mangabey)
Lineage: Eukaryota; Metazoa; Chordata; Mammalia; Primates; Cercopithecidae
Exons: 2
Source: RefSeq, a predicted model, not a curated record